Sus scrofa (pig) is the source of this 843-nucleotide long non-coding RNA. RefSeq lists it as uncharacterized. NCBI's taxonomy places the organism in Eukaryota, Metazoa, Chordata, Mammalia, Artiodactyla, Suidae. The record is from RefSeq and is a predicted model, not a curated record.
CGGUGGCUGUGGCACAGGCCAGCAGCUAUAGCUCCAAUUCAACCCCUAGCCUGGGAACUUCCAUUUGCCGCAGGUGUGGCCCUAAACAACAAUAGCAGCAACAACAAAGACGAGGCUUCUGGCUCAUUCCAACAACCAGAUUCUGUGGACACAAAGGUGUUUGCUUCAUAGAACAAAGAGCAAGAUUCCAGAUGCCUCCCCUCUUGAAUGACAGUCAUUUCUAAGUUUUUAAAACAUCAUUUAUUGGUCCUCAUUAUGUACCAAAUAUUAUGCCACGGAUGUUCUGUAUUUCAUGAUUUUAAAAUCUUUUGAAUGACCACAUAACAUAAAUAUUAAAACACCCACUCUACAGAUGCGUUAACUGAGGCUCAGGGGCAGUCGAGAGACUUGCCCACCCCACACACCUCUAAGUGGUAGGUCCGGGAACCAAACCCCAGUCCUCUGGGCUUCAAACCCCUCAACUUCCACCUCACUGUCGGUCUGCAGGUUGGGCGUUCAACCCAGUCUUCGCCAAAGCCCGUGAGGAGCGAGGCCGCUGAGAGGUUUCCCGUUUCCCAGCAUCACUGCAGUGGGUUCAGCUGGGAUACUUCACGAAAGAAUUACACAUCGACUGCCCUUGGCACAGACCGACCAGGCAACGCGCGUACCGCAGUGUCGCCCUCCUCCUCGCCAUUGCCGUUGUCAGAAGGGCUCCCAGGUCCGGGCUCUCCCACUCCCCGCCAGGCGGCAGACACCUGCGAGAUGACCGGUCCCCUCCUUGGCCCUUCCCCUGCAUCAUCCAGCUUGAUCCUCCCAAAGAAUGUUGACCAAAAUUCCCUGGUUAUAAAAACUACACAUUCUUUA